Molecule: long non-coding RNA, 1038 nt
Filed under: Scleropages formosus (Asian bonytongue)
Lineage: Eukaryota; Metazoa; Chordata; Actinopteri; Osteoglossiformes; Osteoglossidae
Description: lncRNA (ENSSFOG00015029185.1)
Source: RNAcentral
CUAAGCUGAAUUUUUAUAGCGCACUGAUCGAUAUCUCGGUAAAAUAAUCAUUUUUUUAAAACUAGCGGGGUAGUGAAAUCUUUGCUUUGUGCUAAAGUCAACAGUGGCAGAGUUUGAGCUCAAAUAAAUGCCGGGAAGCCGGGAGCGCUGGGCAGUGCGCGCGCGCUGCAGCCGGAGCUCUCCAAGUGGCCUCCUGCGCUCCAGUCUGCGCCCACAGCCCGUGCUGCAGGGCUGAGCAGGAUCUCCGCGGUGGUUCCUGUUCCCGGUGAGGCCCUCUGGGCGCAUGCCAGUCGAACCCCUCUGCUUCUGCUCUUCCCAUGUUGCCUUGCUCGUCUCAUCCACGCCGGGCAGUGAAGACGUGACCCUCUCUACCACGCUUCCCGUGAUGCAGCACGCUUCCGAGAGCCUCCCGACAGUUCAGGAUGCACUCCUCCCGGUGCACCAUGGGUACCUGAAACAAAACCAAGUCACCGAGGUUGCUACGGCCCAGCGGACCAGACAGCCACCCGAACGGGCCGUCGCUGUCGCCAUGCGCCCCACCCGCCCCCAUCAGAACCAGGAGCCCCUUUUUGACUCCUCGCGUCCAUUAGUACCUGGCCGCGUCCGGGUUCGACCUGAUGGCAAAUAUGAAAUAUCAAAGCGCCUGUCAGGGGCCCUGAAUGAGGACAAAAGGAGCGCGGCAUUAAUGAUUAACUGUGCUAAAAGCCUCAGCUUUUGUAUUCCCAUGGUGCCCGGGCUAUCUGGCCGCCAUGUGACAUGCUCGAGCCAUUUUCUAGCAGAUUGAGGAAAGCCAGUGAGCAAACACAGGUGCUUUGGAGUCGCUGGCGCUGUCAGGGACAACGGCAAACAAGAGCAGCAAUGCCGGGCUAAAUGAGCUGCCCGCUCGGGCCUCGCUUUGCCGGGAGCUCCCGCAUCUCAAGUCCAAUGUCUCCCGCCCCGAUCGCCACUAUUCACGCUCUCCGUUCGAGAGUCUGGCGGUGGCGGUUGCGGGGAGGGCCGGAGAAUAAAUAAAUAAAUAAAGAUGGUGGAAUGCCGAAG